Molecule: long non-coding RNA, 206 nt
Filed under: Homo sapiens (human)
Lineage: Eukaryota; Metazoa; Chordata; Mammalia; Primates; Hominidae
Description: HSALNT0065998
Source: RNAcentral
UCUGCAGAGCUGCUCUAACCCAAUAAUAAAAUUGGACAAUAAGCUGCAUAUCUGCCGGAAACCUGGGACUGGCAAUGGAGAUGAGAAGAGAAUCAGAAGGGCCCCGGUGUGCGUUCUCAGCAAACUAUCGCAAGAACAAAAAACCAAACAUCACAUGUUCUCACUCACAGGUGGGAAUUGAACGAUGAGAACACCUGGACUCGGGA